GCAAACUUGGUCAUUUAGAGGAAGUAAAAGUCGUAACAAGGUCUCCGUAGGUGAACCUGCGGAGGGAUCAUUCGUGAAGCAGGCGCUCCGUCGCCCUUCCCUACCCUUCAACCACGUGGUCUUAUGCCAUUGCCUCGGGGGGGUCGAGGCGGCCUCGGCCGUCGGGGCCCCGCGCUGGGCCCCGCCCCCCCGCGUGCCCUUGAUAUAAAGUCUUUGGAGUGAUAUUUGCGUCUGAUCAGUCCGGUGGACGUAAUGAAAACAAAACUUUCAACAACGGAUCUCUUGGCUCUCGCAUCGAUGAAGAACGCAGC
Molecule: unclassified non-coding RNA, 311 nt
Filed under: uncultured fungus
Lineage: Eukaryota; Fungi
Description: partial contains small subunit ribosomal RNA, internal transcribed spacer 1, and 5.8S ribosomal RNA
Rfam family: Eukaryotic small subunit ribosomal RNA (bases 1-73)
Source: RNAcentral